This 85-nucleotide signal recognition particle RNA is filed under the name uncultured Stenotrophomonas sp. Its description in RNAcentral is "Bacterial small signal recognition particle RNA". It matches the Rfam family "Bacterial small signal recognition particle RNA", at positions 6 to 89 of the family's 97-position model. Rfam says of the family: The signal recognition particle (SRP) is a universally conserved ribonucleoprotein involved in the co-translational targeting of proteins to membranes. Archaeal SRP consists of a 7S RNA and homologues of the eukaryotic SRP19 and SRP54 proteins. In most bacteria, the SRP consists of a 4.5S RNA and the Ffh protein (a homologue of the eukaryotic SRP54 protein). Lineage: Bacteria; Pseudomonadati; Pseudomonadota; Gammaproteobacteria; Lysobacterales; Lysobacteraceae. The record is from RNAcentral.
GGCCCCUCGCGACGCUAGAUCGAAAAUCCCGCCAGGGCCGGAAGGCAGCAACGGUAUCGAUCGACGCGGGCGCCGAGGUCAGCCG